This 443-nucleotide ribosomal RNA is filed under the name uncultured bacterium. Its description in RNAcentral is "partial 16S ribosomal RNA". It matches the Rfam family "Bacterial small subunit ribosomal RNA", at positions 338 to 795 of the family's 1533-position model. The record is from RNAcentral.
CCUACGGGUGGCAGCAGUGGGGAAUAUUGGGCAAUGGGCGCAAGCCUGACCCAGCAACGCCGCGUGAAGGAAGACGGCUUUCGGGUUGUAAACUUCCUUUCUGAGGGACGCAGAAAGUGACGGUACCUCAGGAAUAAGCCACGGCUAACUACGUGCCAGCAGCCGCGGUAAUACGUAGGUGGCAAGUGUUAUCCGGAUUUAUUGGGGGUAAAGGGCGUGUAGGCGGGACAGCAAGUCAGAUGUGAAAACUCUGGGCUCAACCCUGAGCCUGCAUUUGAAACUGUUUUUCUUGAGUGCUGGAGAGGCAAUCGGAAUUCCGGGUGUAGCGGUGAAAUGCGUAGAUAUACGGAGGAACACCAGUGGCGAAGGCGGAUUGCUGGACAGUAACUGACGCUGAGGCGCGAAAGCGUGGGGAGCAAACAGGAUGAGAUACCCGAGUAGUC